AUUAGAGUUUGAUCAUGGCUCAGGACGAACGCUGGCGGCGUGCCUAAUACAUGCAAGUCGAGCGAAUCUGAGGGAGCUUGCUCCCAAAGAUUAGCGGCGGACGGGUGAGUAACACGUGGGUAACCUGCCUGUAAGAUUGGGAUAACUCCGGGGAAACCGGAGCUAAUACCGGAUAACAUUUUGAACCGCAUGGUUCAAAAUUGGAAGAUGGCUUUUGCUAUCACUUACAGAUGGACCCGCGGCGCAUUAGCUAGUUGGUGAGGUAACGGCUCACCAAGGCAACGAUGCGUACCGACCUGAGAGGGUGAUCGGCCACACUGGGACUGAGACACGGCCCAGACUCCUACGGGAGGCAGCAGUAGGGAAUCUUCCGCAAUGGACGAAGUCUGAACGGAGCAACGCCGCGUGAACGAUGAAGGCCUUCGGGUCGUAAAGAACUGUUGUUAGGGAAGAACAAGUACCAGAGUAACUGCUGAGCCUUGUCGG
Molecule: ribosomal RNA, 486 nt
Filed under: uncultured bacterium
Lineage: Bacteria
Description: bacterial SSU rRNA
Rfam family: Bacterial small subunit ribosomal RNA
Source: RNAcentral